GUGUAAGUGAAAAAAGGGGUUUUAAUAGCAAACAAUGGGCUAAGAGGCCCAAUGUGCAGUCACCAAAGAGAGAAAGAGAGGCAUCGGUGUGGUGUAAUGCAUUUCCAUUCAACCUCGAAACCUGAGCUAGUUCAUCAAAACUCAGAACCUCGCCGCUCCGGAAAUCGCCUCGGGCGACGGCGGGGAUCCAAACACUCUCAAAUUUACGCUGUUUGAUUUGUCCUCUCACCCUCUCUUUCAUUCACUACUUAGUUUUUCCUAAUUACCAGCCUAAUCCUAGAAUCGAACCACGCAUUGCAUGAACCCUAAUUUCCUAAGUGAAUGGAAUAGAGUGACUGAGGUUCAGAGAUAUUGAGCUGAAACCAAAUCAAAGAGUGAUGAGAAUUUGAGAGAUCUUGUGUCAAUGAUUGAAGAAUGAUCUCUGGAAAAGUGAAAAUCCUCCUUAAAGAUUGAGAAAUGAUUGGUUAUAUAGAGGGGAGUGAUGCUAACAGAAUGGGGUAGUUAGGUCAGAGGCGUUAGGGCAAUGCACCUCUGUCAGUUUUUCAGUGGUUUUGGUUGUUAGCAGUUAGCAAUUCUGUUAGCCUUUGUUAACCUUGGUUUUUGAAUUUAGUUACGAUGUUAGAGUCUAAGUUAGUGUUAAUUUCACUUAGUUAGUUAGGAAAGAGUUAAAAACUGUUUUAAUUGUUAGUUAUGAUAUCAAUUAGUGAAUGAGAGUACUGUUAAGUUGAGUUAGCUCAAUUAGAAGGUUAGUGAAAUGAAAUGAAGUUGGACUGUCAUAGCUUGAAUGGAUGGUGUGGUAUUGGUUUAGUUAGUUAUGGCUAAAUCUGUUAUGUUAUUUUAGUCUAGAUUUAGGUGUUAAUAAUUAAGAUUCAAGCUAGUUAGUAGCUAGUUGUAGUUUUAUUAACAAGUUAGCUUGUUAGUUGAAAUUAGAGUUAUGUUGGCAGUUAGUAAAGUUAGGCUGGAUAAUUGUGAUGUUAGUUUAGCAAGCCAACUAUAACUCUUAUGAAUUUACCAAAGGUUUGAAUCUGGUACAAAUUGGUUCUUCCUCUUCAUGCUCUUGAAUGCAGCAACUUGUCCAAGUAUUUGUGUAGUCAAACUAGAUUGCUUAGAUUUUGUAUGUAGGUAGUUUUUACACUUGCUGGUUUGGGUUUUUUAUGGCUAUGCAGAGAUGCUUUAAUCAAUUUCUAUGAUGCUAAGUUGAUACUUAACUGACUGUUAGGGUGAACUAGUAUUUUAAAAGUUGUGAAUUGAUAUGGGACUGAUGCUUGUUGUGAAUCACAUUGGACUGUGAGACUGGUAAUGAUCUAAAUUAUUGAUAUGAAGUUUUAGUGGCAGGCUGUUAUGGAAAUUUGUCUUGGUGAGCAUCAAUUAGAAAAUUGAGAGGACCUCAUGGUAAAUGCUUGUUAAAGUAAUUGGAAGGUUAAAAUUAGUCAUGGAGGAAAAGUGGUUAGUUAGCAAAGGAGGACAUAUAUGCACAUGUGGAUGAGGAAAGACAAGGCUAAGCAUGGUUUUAAGUCAUGGCAUAAGGACACUUAAGGCACAUGAAGAAGACUUAGAAGGCUUGCUAUUAAAGAAUAGGAAUAGGGUUUAGGAAUAAAACUAGGUAGUUGACAUUGGUCAACAGUUUUACCAAAAAGUCAACAGUUGACCAAAGUCAACUCUAGGUCAAACAUGUGUAAUUUUGAGUAGACUUUGCAAUUUGGAUCUUUUGUAAUAUAAAUGGAUUUGUUUUUGAAAUGACGGGCUUGUAUAUGAAGAAAGAUGAACUUUCCCUCCAAAACUUAAAUUUUGAAUGUUUGAAAUAUGUUUGCAAUUGCAUCUUGAUCUUGAA
Molecule: long non-coding RNA, 1831 nt
Organism: Lathyrus oleraceus (garden pea)
Lineage: Eukaryota; Viridiplantae; Streptophyta; Magnoliopsida; Fabales; Fabaceae
Exons: 2
Source: RefSeq, a predicted model, not a curated record